RNAcentral lists this ribosomal RNA (482 nucleotides) under uncultured bacterium. RNAcentral's name for it is "partial 16S ribosomal RNA". It matches the Rfam family "Bacterial small subunit ribosomal RNA", at positions 28 to 523 of the family's 1533-position model. The record is from RNAcentral.
GACGAACGCUGGCGGCGUGCUUAACACAUGCAAGUCGAACGAUGAAGCCCAGCUUGCUGGGUGGAUUAGUGGCGAACGGGUGAGUAACACGUGGGCAACCUGCCCCAAACUCUGGGAUAACUCCUCGAAAGAGGUGCUAAUACCGGAUACGAACUAGACAGACAUCUGUACUAGUUGGAAAGUUUUUCGGUUUGGGAUGGGCCCGCGGCCUAUCAGCUUGUUGGUGAGGUAACGGCUCACCAAGGCUACGACGGGUAACCGGCCUGAGAGGGGGAACGGGCACACUGGGACCUGGACACGGCCCAGACUCCUACGGGAGGCAGCAGUGGGGAAUAUUGGGGAAGGGGCGAAAGCCUGACGCAGCGACGCCGCGUGAGGGAUGAAGGUCUUCGGAUCGUAAACCUCUUUCAGUAGGGACGAAGCGAAAGUGACGGUACCUAAAGAAGAAGCACCGGCUAACUACGUGCCAGCCGCCGCCGUAA